Molecule: ribosomal RNA, 600 nt
Filed under: Escherichia coli
Lineage: Bacteria; Pseudomonadati; Pseudomonadota; Gammaproteobacteria; Enterobacterales; Enterobacteriaceae
Description: partial 23S ribosomal RNA
Rfam family: Bacterial large subunit ribosomal RNA
Source: RNAcentral
UGGUGGGUAGUUUGACUGGGGCGGUCUCCUCCUAAAGAGUAACGGAGGAGCACGAAGGUUGGCUAAUCCUGGUCGGACAUCAGGAGGUUAGUGCAAUGGCAUAAGCCAGCUUGACUGCGAGCGUGACGGCGCGAGCAGGUGCGAAAGCAGGUCAUAGUGAUCCGGUGGUUCUGAAUGGAAGGGCCAUCGCUCAACGGAUAAAAGGUACUCCGGGGAUAACAGGCUGAUACCGCCCAAGAGUUCAUAUCGACGGCGGUGUUUGGCACCUCGAUGUCGGCUCAUCACAUCCUGGGGCUGAAGUAGGUCCCAAGGGUAUGGCUGUUCGCCAUUUAAAGUGGUACGCGAGCUGGGUUUAGAACGUCGUGAGACAGUUCGGUCCCUAUCUGCCGUGGGCGCUGGAGAACUGAGGGGGGCUGCUCCUAGUACGAGAGGACCGGAGUGGACGCAUCACUGGUGUUCGGGUUGUCAUGCCAAUGGCACUGCCCGGUAGCUAAAUGCGGAAGAGAUAAGUGCUGAAAGCAUCUAAGCACGAAACUUGCCCCGAGAUGAGUUCUCCCUGACUCCUUGAGAGUCCUGAAGGAACGUUGAAGACGACGACGU